RNAcentral lists this ribosomal RNA (463 nucleotides) under uncultured Klebsiella sp. RNAcentral's name for it is "bacterial SSU rRNA". It matches the Rfam family "Bacterial small subunit ribosomal RNA", at positions 339 to 795 of the family's 1533-position model. The record is from RNAcentral. Lineage: Bacteria; Pseudomonadati; Pseudomonadota; Gammaproteobacteria; Enterobacterales; Enterobacteriaceae.
CUACGGGAGGCAGCAGUGGGGAAUAUUGCACAAUGGGCGCAAGCCUGAUGCAGCCAUGCCGCGUGUGUGAAGAAGGCCUUCGGGUUGUAAAGCACUUUCAGCGGGGAGGAAGGCGUUAAGGUUAAUAACCUUGGCGAUUGACGUUACCCGCAGAAGAAGCACCGGCUAACUCCGUGCCAGCAGCCGCGGUAAUACGGAGGGUGCAAGCGUUAAUCGGAAUUACUGGGCGUAAAGCGCACGCAGGCGGCCUGUCAAGUCGGAUGUGAAAUCCCCGGGCUCAACCUGGGAACUGCAUUCGAAACUGGCAGGCUAGAGUCUUGUAGAGGGGGGUAGAAUUCCAGGUGUAGCGGUGAAAUGCGUAGAGAUCUGGAGGAAUACCGGUGGCGAAGGCGGCCCCCUGGACAAAGACUGACGCUCAGGUGCGAAAGCGUGGGGAGCAAACAGGAUUAGAACCCCUGUAGUC